UGAUAUUUUAUUCUUAACAAUUUUAUUACAUUUAAAUUCCUCUUAAUAGAUACGAGAUGGAGAAGGAUCGUCUGGCUGAUCAGUCUUUUCGUUUGGAGAAAAUAAAAUCUCUUGUGCAGAGAUUUAAUGCUAUUACUGAUGCCAUGAAUAUGACAGUAAAAGAACUGAAAAGACUGUCCA
Molecule: long non-coding RNA, 180 nt
Organism: Stegodyphus dumicola
Lineage: Eukaryota; Metazoa; Arthropoda; Arachnida; Araneae; Eresidae
Source: RefSeq, a predicted model, not a curated record